CCUACGGGUGGCAGCAGUAGGGAAUAUUGCUCAAUGGGGGAAACCCUGAAGCAGCAACGCCGCGUGGAGGAUGAAGGCUUUCGGAUUGUAAACUCCUUUUGUCAGAGAAGAUAAUGAUGGUAUUAAACGAAUAAGUACCUGCCAACUCCGUGCCAGCAGCCGCGGUAAUACGGAGGGUGCAAGCGUUACUCGGAAUCACUGGGCGUAAAGAGCGCGUAGGCGGGUUGGCAAGUCAGAUGUGAAAUCCUAUGGCUUAACCAUAGAACUGCAUUUGAAACUGUUAAUCUAGAGUAUGGGAGAGGUAGGUAGAAUUCUUGGUGUAGGGGUAAAAUCCGUAGAGAUCAAGAGGAAUACUCGUUGCGAAGGCGACCUGCUAGAACAUAACUGACGCUGAUGCGCGAAAGCGUGGGGAGCAAACAGGAUUAGAUACCCCAGUAGUC
Molecule: ribosomal RNA, 440 nt
Filed under: uncultured bacterium
Lineage: Bacteria
Description: partial 16S ribosomal RNA
Rfam family: Bacterial small subunit ribosomal RNA
Source: RNAcentral